CUGGAGAAGAUCAGUCAGAGAAUGUUACCUUAGAAGAGAAUCUGACAUAACAUAAAAGCAAAUUGAGAAGCUCUCGAGGUUGCUGCUAACCUUGUAUAUAACACAAGGGAAUUGAUGAUAUUUUACUGAAGGUUCCAUACAUCAGAAGACUUGCUAUAUCGGAUAUUAGCUAUGAAUUUGUUGGCAAAAUUUAGAACGGAUGUACAUAGGACUAGGUAGAAUAUGAUAUUUUGAUGUAACAUUGUAAACUGUCUACUCUUCAAAUAAUUUUCA
Long non-coding RNA from Lolium rigidum, 273 nucleotides. RefSeq lists it as uncharacterized. The transcript is spliced from 3 exons. NCBI's taxonomy places the organism in Eukaryota, Viridiplantae, Streptophyta, Magnoliopsida, Poales, Poaceae. The record is from RefSeq and is a predicted model, not a curated record.